UAGGGAAUCUUCGGCAAUGGGGGGAACCCUGACCGAGCAACGCCGCGUGAGUGAAGAAGGUUUUCGGAUCGUAAAGCUCUGUUGUUAAGGAAGAACGAGUGUGAGAAUGGAAAGUUCAUACUGUGACGGUACUUAACCAGAAAGGGACGGCUAACUACGUGCCAGCAGCCGCGGUAAUACGUAGGUCCCGAGCGUUGUCCGGAUUUAUUGGGCGUAAAGCGAGCGCAGGAGGUGAAUUAAGUCUGAUGUGAAAGCCCCCGGCUCAACCGGGGAGGGUCAUUGGAAACUGGUUGACUUGAGUGCAGAAGAGGAGAGUGGAAUUCCAUGUGUAGCGGUGAAAUGCGUAGAUAUAUGGAGGAACACCAGUGGCGAAGGCGACUCUCUGGUCUGUAACUGACGCUGAGGCUCGAAAGCGUGGGUAGCAAACAGG
This 430-nucleotide ribosomal RNA is filed under the name Bacteroidota bacterium. Its description in RNAcentral is "Bacteroidetes bacterium partial 16S ribosomal RNA". It matches the Rfam family "Bacterial small subunit ribosomal RNA", at positions 355 to 776 of the family's 1533-position model. Lineage: Bacteria; Pseudomonadati; Bacteroidota. The record is from RNAcentral.